This 1122-nucleotide ribosomal RNA is filed under the name Pseudoteratosphaeria ohnowa. RNAcentral describes it as "LSU rRNA". It matches the Rfam family "Eukaryotic large subunit ribosomal RNA", at positions 68 to 1124 of the family's 3401-position model. Lineage: Eukaryota; Fungi; Ascomycota; Dothideomycetes; Mycosphaerellales; Teratosphaeriaceae. The record is from RNAcentral.
ACAGGGAUUGCCCUAGUAACGGCGAGUGAAGCGGCAACAGCUCAAAUUUGAAAUCUGGCGCAAGCCCGAGUUGUAAUUUGUAGAGGAUGCUUCAGGGCAGCGGCCGGUCUAAGUUCCUUGGAACAGGACGUCAUAGAGGGUGAGAAUCCCGUAUGCGACCGGUUGGCACCCGUCACGUAGCUCCUUCGACGAGUCGAGUUGUUUGGGAAUGCAGCUCUAAAUGGGAGGUAAAUUCCUUCUAAAGCUAAAUACCGGCCAGAGACCGAUAGCGCACAAGUAGAGUGAUCGAAAGAUGAAAAGCACUUUGGAAAGAGAGUUAAAAAGCACGUGAAAUUGUUGAAAGGGAAGCGCAUGCAACCAGACUCGUCGGCGGUGUUCCGCCGGUCUUUUGACCGGUCUACUCGCCGCCGGCGGGCCAGCAUCACUUGGGGGCGCCGGAUAAAGGCGCGGGGAAUGUGGCUCCUCGGAGUGUUAUAGCCCCGCGCACAAUACGGCGAUCCUCGAGUGAGGUCCGCGCUUCGGCUAGGAUGCUGGCGUAAUGGUUGUUUGCGGCCCGUCUUGAAACACGGACCAAGGAGUCUACCAUCUAUGCGAGUGUUCGGGUGUCAAACCCCUACGCGUAAUGAAAGUGAACGGAGGUGGGAACCGCAAGGUGCACCAUCGACCGAUCCUGAUGUCUUCGGAUGGAUUUGAGUAAGAGCAUAGCUGGUGGGACCCGAAAGAUGGUGAACUAUGCCUGAAUAGGGUGAAGCCAGAGGAAACUCUGGUGGAGGCUCGCAGCGGUUCUGACGUGCAAAUCGAUCGUCAAAUUUGGGUAUAGGGGCGAAAGACUAAUCGAACCAUUAACUACUAGGUGGUUGAGAGAGCCUCGAGCUCUAGUCCGGCCGAUGGCCGGGCGACACCGUCAAAUUGCGGGAACUCCCUGAAGCCUCGGCUACCGCCCGGAUCCCGAAAGGGAUUGCGGGCACCUAGACUCACCUCUGGGGUACGGUAACAACGUCGACGGAUUGGGUGACCACGCAGCCAAGCCCUACGGCUCCUAGAGCACGGGCGCAGUUCACAGACUAGAUGGCGGUGGGCCUCCGGGUCUAAGAUAUAGUCGAUUCCCAGAGUCCGAAAGGA